This is a non-coding RNA of Osmia lignaria (orchard mason bee), 2429 nucleotides long. NCBI's taxonomy places the organism in Eukaryota, Metazoa, Arthropoda, Insecta, Hymenoptera, Megachilidae. The record is from RefSeq and is a predicted model, not a curated record.
UCCUUUUUAAUUAUUUAAUUAUACAUUUAACACAAUAUUUAUAUUUAUUUUAGAUAUUUGUUUUGAAAGGAGUAACCAGUGAAUCAGAACUAAAGAAGAUACAGAGUUUCAACUAUUUAUCACAUAACCAGGAAAGAGGAAAGCAUUAAUAUAUAUAUAUAUUUAUUUAUAUAAAUACAUAUCAAUAUUAUAUAUGUGUAUGGAUAUGCGAAUGGUAUUUUCAAUUAAUUGAAAAUAAAAAAAAAAGGUUAUGCUUUCUUGAAGAAAUUUAUUAACACAAAGCAUGUUUUCUUUAAAAAUAAGUACUAUCUUGAAAUCAAAAAGUUUUAUAGGUUAUAUAGAUAAUUACUGUAAUUACAUUAAACAAGAAAAACAAUGUUUAUGGAUGUUGCAAAACUAUAAUCACAGUGGCUGUACAAAUAUUGAUAAAAAUUACUAUUUAUGUUAUAAAAUGAAACAAUUUAAUACAAGUGAUAUAAAUCUUUUGCAUUUUACAAAUUGUAAUAGAAAGUUUUGUACCAAUCCUUUGCCAAAGGAUGGUGAUGUUUUUGGAAACAUUUCACAUGAAAAAUAUGAAAAAGUUCCAAUGGAUGAAGAUGAGGAAAAAGAAGAAAAUUUUUCAAAACGUACUAAAAUUCCUAUAAUAGAAAGAUUAAGUUACACAGAUUAUUGUAAGCUUAUUAAAUCAUAUAUAGAUUCAAAGAAUGUAAAUGCAGCAUUAAAUGUAUUAGAUUUAAUGAAAGAAAAUGGUGAUAAGCCAAAUGUCUUCAUAUAUAGACUUUUACUUUCUGCAUUUGCGUUACAAGGAGAUGUAAAUCAAUGUUUUAAAUUAUUUAAGAAAAUAAGAGACAGUGGUUUAGUUCCUUCAGCAAGGGUAUAUACUUCUUUAAUUCAAGCUUGUGCUAACACAACUGAUUCAAACAUUGCGGUAGAACGUUUGGACUAUUUAAGAAGAUACUUUCUUGAGAGAAAAUUAAUGUUAAAUGUAGUGCAUUACUGUGCUCUUAUCAAAGCUUAUGGUCGGCAUAACAAAGUUUUAACUGCCUUUCAAAUAGCAGAUGAAGCAAGGGAUAAUGGUAUCAUUUCAAAUAGUAUAGCCACUUAUUUGUUUCACGCAACAAUUGGUGACAAGGAAUCUGGAUUAAAAUAUGCUUUGGGUUUGUGGCACAAAAUGAAGAAAGAUAAAAUGAAAUUUAACAUAUUACAUUAUAAUCUCCUUUUGAGAGCAAUUAGAGAUACAAAGUUUGGGGAUUUGAAAGUAAAUGAUACUUUAGUAUUAGAAUCACCCGAAACUCAAAUUCAAUUUAAGAAUGUAGAAAGAUCAGAUUUAUUAGAUUCUCCACCAGUGUUGAGUACUUCGCUCCUUAAAAUGCUUACAGAAUCUAAACAUAUUGUGGCAAAUGCUGAUACUUCAGAAAUAGAUGUAGUUAAUAAUAACAAGUUAUUGUUACAAAAUCUGGACGACGCGUUGCAUUCAAAACGAUUAAUUUUAUUUGGUGGAGUUGAAAAAUUUAUAAAUGGAAUGAAAAUUCGUGGUGUAUACCCUGAUACAAAAACAAUCACAUUACUUUUAGAUUUACUUCCGCCCACAAUAACGGCAGAAGACUAUUUUCUUAAGUACCUAAAAAAUAAUAAUAUAAAUGUAGAUAUUACAUUUUUUAACAUGCUUAUUAAAAGGAGAUGUUUAAGAAGAAAUUAUAUGGAUGCCAAAGCUAUUCUUAAUACGAUACAAAGUUAUCAUUUUACAGCCAAUAUCAUAACAUUUGGAGUAUUGGCUAUUGGAUGUAGAAAGCUUGAAGAUGGAAAAGAACUUUUAGAACAAAUGGAUAAUAUUGGUUUUGCACCGAAUUAUACAAUUUUAGAAACAUUGUUACACAAUGCGUGUGCUAAUAAAAGGUUUUCUUAUGUAUUAUAUUUGAUGAAGCACAUAUUGGCAACUGAAAUUAAACCAUCAAAAAAUAUGUUACAAUUUUUAAAAAAUUUUGAUGAAAUGAUAUUAAAAGAAAUAGAAAAUAAGCAUAACUACACUAAUAAAAGAAUAUAUUUCACCGAAGCAGAUUAUAACCAAUUUAAAAUAUAUUACGAAAAUUGGAAAGAAAAGCUAGGAAUAAAUACAGAUUAUUGAAAUGCUCAAACAGGUUUCAUUAACUUAUAGUCUGAUUUUAUUUUAAUUUAAACUGUAUAGAGUUGGAACUUUGAUAACUCGUAUUUGUAAAACAAAACAAAAUAAAAUAAUACAUUUACAAAUACGAUAUGGAUUAGUAGCUUCAGUUGUUUCUAAACCUAUGAAAAAUACAGAAAAAUUUGGACUUUUAUAACAUAUACACAUCAAGAAAUUUUGUACUGCGAUAGUACACCAAUUAAGUCGAUUACUAAUAAUAAUAAUAAUAAUAAUAAUAAUAAUAAUAAUAUGAUAUAAUUCUAAUAAG